This 460-nucleotide ribosomal RNA is filed under the name uncultured bacterium. RNAcentral's name for it is "partial 16S ribosomal RNA". It matches the Rfam family "Bacterial small subunit ribosomal RNA", at positions 338 to 795 of the family's 1533-position model. The record is from RNAcentral.
CCUACGGGGAGCAGCAGUGAGGAAUAUUGGUCAAUGGACGAGAGUCUGAACCAGCCAAGUAGCGUGAAGGAUGACUGCCCUAUGGGUUGUAAACUUCUUUUAUAAAGGAAUAAAACGCGGCACGUGUGCCUUUUUGCAUGUACUUUAUGAAUAAGGAUCGGCUAACUCCGUGCCAGCAUCCGCGGUAAUACGGAGGUUCCGAGCGUUAUCCGGAUUUAGUGGGUUUAAAGGGAGCGUAGAUGGGUUGUUAAGUCAGUUGUGAAAGUUUGCGGCUCAACCGUAAAAUUGCAAUUGAUACUGGCAGUCUUGAGUACAGUUGAGGUAGGCGGAAUUCGUGGUGUAGCGGUGAAAUGCUUAGAUAUCACGAAGAACCCCGAUUGCGAAGGCAGCUUACUAAACUGUGACUGACAUUGAUGCUCGAAAGUGUGGGUAUCAAACAGGAUUAGAUACCCCAGUAGUC